This 365-nucleotide ribosomal RNA is filed under the name uncultured bacterium. RNAcentral's name for it is "partial 16S ribosomal RNA". It matches the Rfam family "Bacterial small subunit ribosomal RNA", at positions 338 to 700 of the family's 1533-position model. The record is from RNAcentral.
CCUACGGGUGGCAGCAGUGAGGAAUAUUGGUCAAUGGGCGCGAGCCUGAACCAGCCAAGUAGCGUGAAGGAUGACUGCCCUACGGGUUGUAAACUUCUUUUAUAAAGGAAUAAAGUGAGGCACGUGUGCCUUUUUGUAUGUACUUUAUGAAUAAGGAUCGGCUAACUCCGGGCCAGCAGCCGCGGUAAUACGGAGGAUCCGAGCGUUAUCCGGAUUUAUUGGGUUUACAGGGAGCGUAGAGGGGUUGGUAAGUCAGUUGUGAAAGUUUGCGGCUCAACCGUAAAAUUGCCAUUGAUACUGGCAGCCUUGAGUACAGUUGAGGUCGGCGGAAUUCGUGGUGUAGCUGUGAAAUGCUUAGAUAUCAC